Molecule: ribosomal RNA, 405 nt
Filed under: uncultured bacterium
Lineage: Bacteria
Description: bacterial SSU rRNA
Rfam family: Bacterial small subunit ribosomal RNA
Source: RNAcentral
GACGAACGCUGGCGGCGUGCUUAACACAUGCAAGUCGAGGGGUCGUGGGCAACUCACGGAUCACCGGCGAACGGGUGCGUAACACGUGAGCGACCUGCCGUACCUGUGGGGGAUAGCCGGCCCAACGGCCGGGUAAUACCGCAUACGCUUGUCCUGGGGCAUCCUGGGACAAAGAAAGCUCUGGGGGCAACCCUGGGGCGCAGGACGAGGGGCUCGCGGCCUAUCAGCUAGUUGGCGGGGAACGGCCCACCAAGGCGGUGACGGGUAGCUGGUCUGAGAGGAUGGCCAGCCACAUUGGGACUGAGAGACGGCCCAGACUCCUACGGGAGGCAGCAGUGGGGAAUCUUGCGCAAUGGCCUAACGGCUGAACGCAGCGACGCCGCGUGUGGGAGGACGCCCUCGGGU